UCUGGCCAGGGAAUGUGAUUUCUGUCACUUCUGUCCUGCCUUGCCCCAUCCCCUUUCUUCUAGGGCUCACCAUUGCUGGAACCAGAGCCUCAUAUUCAACAAAUGGCCCAAGACCCUCUGAACCUGCCUGCUCUACAGUAUCCAGUGGGAAAACAAAACCACAAACCUCUUCAGAAGCUCAGGGUAUCAGCAGGUUGCCACCCAGCUGCCACCCCAGUCUCUGAUUUUGUCCCCUUGGUGCCUGUGAACUUUCCUGCAGGGUUAACAGCUGGCAGAGCCAGAGGCACACGAGGACACCCUGAAAAAGCUUAUGGAGAUCAGGGACACAAGAGUUACCGGAGCUACACCCCAAGACCUCUGUGCAUUUCCAGCCCCAGUGAUGCUGUCCUGACAUGCCAGCACUGCUUCUUGGUGGCUUUCUGCAUGCUCACCUUUCUGCUGGAAUGACCUCCUCUGACCCAGUGAGGUUGCUCAGGAAGGUGCGGGGAAUGUGGAACGAGAGUCUGAAACAGUUUGUCAGCAUCCUGGCACCACCCCAGGGUGCUGUCCAUACCUACUGCCAACUCUGCCUUGAUGCAAUCUGGAAAUUCUGGUAUUGGAGGAGAGCCGGUAGAAGACAAUGAAAGCAGAAAGGCUAGCCAACUGACCACUGCAGUCUUCUGCUCAAUGAACAGUGACAUCCUAGAAGGUGGCCUACUUGCUCCCCUGCCUGGAAAUUUCUGCACAAAGGUCAUUCCAAGCAUGGAUUUCAGCACCCCGUCACUGUUACCAGAUAACCUCCAUAGUUCAUCUCCUCAAGACCCAAGCUACUACCUGAUAGUCUCAGAAAAGCUCUCCAGGAAAUCAUGAAUCCAUAAGCUGUGGCUGUCUUUUAUUUUGAAACGGGGUCUCAAUAGGUAGACCUGGCUAGCCUCCCACUAUCCAUUCUCCCUCCUCCACCUGCUGACUCAGCAGUCAGGACUACAGGUAUGAGCUGGAUAUGUACCUUUAAAAGUGACAUGUGAAAGUUAUUGUUUGCUUCCUACAUGAGAGCUUGUUAGCCAAGUCUCUCAAUGCCCUGAGUCUCUAUCUUUAUCUCUGAAAAUGAUUUACAGCUUUUACUUGGUGACCCCAUAGGCACAUCAUAUGGAUCAAUGACACCAUAAAUGUCAAAGAGCUUUGUACACUGUGAAGGGCAGAACUAGUUCAUUUGAGUCUCUGGAACCUCCCUCAAUGUCCAUUCAAGACAGUCUGCACAUUGUU
This is a non-coding RNA of Cricetulus griseus (Chinese hamster), 1242 nucleotides long. The record is from RefSeq and is a predicted model, not a curated record. Lineage: Eukaryota; Metazoa; Chordata; Mammalia; Rodentia; Cricetidae.